CGCAAAGUGCUGUCAGUUCUCAAUCUCAGGGAACUUGCACAGCUGUGAGGCAUGAACCGCUUGCCUUCUGACGCCAAGGAAACUCGGGUUCUGAGACAGAGGACUCGACCAGAGUUACAUUGCUGGAGAACGUCAGGACUUGAACUCAGAGGAGGCAAAGUUUAUUUGGGGUUGCCGGUUUCAGAAGCCUCCAUCGGUUGGGGCCUGACUCCAUUCCUUGGGGCCUGAAGUGAGAUAGAACAUCAUGGUGGGAGUACGCGGUGGAGGAAAGCGGCUCAGGACCCGGCAAUCAGGAAGCAGAGAGAUACACCACCCUCCAGGAACUUCAAUGUGUUUGGAAGUUUCCAGAACCCUGACCUUUGGAUUUUUAUGGAGGCUUCAUUCAUCUAGACUUCAAAAACUCUGCUUUCUAGGGAAUACAGACUGAGCUAUCAGGAGAUUUUCUGAUUGUCUUUUGGCUUCCCUGUGCCAGUCUUCGGUUACUGUGGUUUCAUUUCCUCAACUGCUGCAUUUAUCUCUGUAUCUCCUGAGCCCGAGACCUGCUUUAUGAUGGCAUCCGACUCCWUGGCUUGGUCAUUGUCAGUCUUUGAUGAAAGGUGAGGCCCCUCUCAGCGUGCUGCAGAGCAGAGCUCUGACAUGGCAAACUGAAUCCCAAGCUUCUGUUGUGGUGACUUUGCCCACAGCUGCGUUCGUCCUUCUCAGGCAGUUCAGACUUCUCAUGGAGAUGCCCUUCUGCACCCUGGGUCAUCUGGUGAGUGCUAGAGCUAACCCAGGGCUGGGAAGGGUAGGUGCUGGAGUCUCUGGUUCCACCCUAGACCCAGGGUUUGCUCCUCCCACUGGUACCUCUAUUYGCUGCUGGCGGUGCUGCACAAACCUUUAAGAAAGUGUCUGUYACGGUUUUCCAAGAACCGUCUCAACAGUCAGUCCUGCUUCUGAGAGUCUAGCGUUAGGAAAUAAAAUGUGACACUCAAUGUAGCAUUAUUGAUGAUGAGAAAUUAAAGGCAAAAUAUGUGCCAACAGUACCGUUGGUCCUCUGUGGCUGCAGGUCCCCUUCCAUGGA
Urocitellus parryii (Arctic ground squirrel) is the source of this 1060-nucleotide non-coding RNA. Lineage: Eukaryota; Metazoa; Chordata; Mammalia; Rodentia; Sciuridae. The record is from RefSeq and is a predicted model, not a curated record.